CACGAGCCAGCUCACUCUCACCACACCCCAGCAACAGAGCAAAACUAGCCAGAAACAUUACGCAGGGCUGCCUCGUUCGGCUCUCCGGACGCGUUCAAGAGAAUAUGUCAGAAGAAAUGUCAAUGUUCGGACGAGCCGGUGUAGGUAGAGAUUCGGCGCACCCUGGACAUCGAGAGAUCCCUAUUGAGCAUGCUCCGCAAACCUCGAUUGAUGAGUUGUUGAAGGUAAUAAAAGGAGCCAAUGGCAUGCCGGUGCUGUUCAUGCCCACCAGUGACGGCCGGCUGGCAGCAGUGGCCGUAGACGGCCUUCAGAGUUUGAUGCCCGCCAAACGCGAGGGCAGCGACCCUGUCAAAAAGGAGGAGGAGGAUUUCCGUGCCUGCUUGUUUGUCCUGACAUCACUAGUUGCUACUGUCACCUUCGCCGCAGGGCUCACUCCACCCGGUGGCUUCUGGGCGGAUGACAACGGGUACGUGGCUGGUACCCCGAUUAUGCGAGAUAAAUUUAGCAGAAGGUACUUCCUGUUUCAGUACUGCAACACAUGCGCCUUCUUCACGUCCUUACGAUCAUUGCGUCGCUCGCCAAGAACUGGAAUAUCGAGAAGAUCAUGACUAUUCCAUUCACAUGCAUUGUAGGAGUCUGUUUUCUGAGCAUGGGAAUUAGCUUUAUCGCCGGCACGUGGAACAGCAACGCCGGCCCCAAACAACUGUGGCCUGCCGUUUUUGUCCUUGCAAUUAACAUUGUCUACAUGACGGGGGAUCGGAUUAAGGAAAUGUUUUCCGGUAUAUAAUCUAGUAAUAGCUGUGGGGACUCCCCGAAUCCGGUGCUUAAGAGCUCCGCUCAGUACUAAUCACGACAAGUAAUUUGGAAGGGAGGGAGUAUGAAUGAGUAACGGCAAAGAAGACUCGAUGGUACUUGUAGUGAACCCUGGUAUGUGUAUUGUAUUUGUAACUUCGUGAGAACCCAGCUUCUGGUACUCAUCUUCUUGUAACUCCUGGUAUGUAUAUUGUAUUUGUAACUGAGUACAUGGUAAUUAUGCCCUCA
This is a long non-coding RNA of Triticum aestivum (bread wheat), 1041 nucleotides long. RefSeq lists it as uncharacterized. Lineage: Eukaryota; Viridiplantae; Streptophyta; Magnoliopsida; Poales; Poaceae. The record is from RefSeq and is a predicted model, not a curated record. The transcript is spliced from 2 exons.